UGGGGAAUAUUGGACAAUGGGGGCAACCCUGAUCCAGCCAUGCCGCGUGAGUGAUGAAGGCCUUAGGGUUGUAAAGCUCUUUCGCCCGCGAAGAUAAUGACGGUAGCGGGAGAAGAAGCCCCGGCUAACUUCGUGCCAGCAGCCGCGGUAAUACGAAGGGGGCUAGCGUUGUUCGGAAUCACUGGGCGUAAAGCGUACGUAGGCGGAUGCUUAAGUCAGAGGUGAAAGCCUGGAGCUCAACUCCAGAACU
Molecule: ribosomal RNA, 250 nt
Filed under: uncultured bacterium
Lineage: Bacteria
Description: partial 16S ribosomal RNA
Rfam family: Bacterial small subunit ribosomal RNA
Source: RNAcentral